This 2896-nucleotide ribosomal RNA is filed under the name Campylobacter coli. RNAcentral describes it as "bacterial LSU rRNA". It matches the Rfam family "Bacterial large subunit ribosomal RNA". The record is from RNAcentral. Lineage: Bacteria; Pseudomonadati; Campylobacterota; Epsilonproteobacteria; Campylobacterales; Campylobacteraceae.
CUAAGAGCGAAUGGUGGAUGCCUUGACUGGUAAAGGCGAUGAAGGACGUACUAGACUGCGAUAAGCUACGGGGAGCUGUCAAGAAGCUUUGAUCCGUAGAUUUCCGAAUGGGGCAACCCAAUGUAUAGAGAUAUACAUUACCUAUAUAGGAGCGAACGAGGGGAAUUGAAACAUCUUAGUACCCUCAGGAAAAGAAAUCAAUAGAGAUUGCGUCAGUAGCGGCGAGCGAAAGCGCAAGAGGGCAAACCCAGUGCUUGCACUGGGGGUUGUAGGACUGCAAUGUGCAAGAGGUGAGUUUAGCAGAACAUUCUGGAAAGUAUAGCCAUAGAGGGUGAUAGUCCCGUAUGCGAAAAACAAACCUUAGCUAGCAGUAUCCUGAGUAGGGCGGGACACGAGAAAUCCUGUCUGAAGCCGGGUCGACCACGAUCCAACCCUAAAUACUAAUACCAGAUCGAUAGUGCACAAGUACCGUGAGGGAAAGGUGAAAAGAACUGAGGUGAUCAGAGUGAAAUAGAACCUGAAACCAUUUGCUUACAAUCAUUCAGAGCACUAUGUAGCAAUACAGUGUGAUGGACUGCCUUUUGCAUAAUGAGCCUGCGAGUUGUGGUGUCUGGCAAGGUUAAGCAAACGCGAAGCCGUAGCGAAAGCGAGUCUGAAUAGGGCGCUUAGUCAGAUGCUGCAGACCCGAAACGAAGUGAUCUAUCCAUGAGCAAGUUGAAGCUAGUGUAAGAACUAGUGGAGGACUGAACCCAUAGGCGUUGAAAAGCCCCGGGAUGACUUGUGGAUAGGGGUGAAAGGCCAAUCAAACUUCGUGAUAGCUGGUUCUCUCCGAAAUAUAUUUAGGUAUAGCGUUGUGUCGUAAUAUAAGGGGGUAGAGCACUGAAUGGGCUAGGGCAUACACCAAUGUACCAAACCCUAUCAAACUCCGAAUACCUUAUAUGUAAUCACAGCAGUCAGGCGGCGAGUGAUAAAAUCCGUCGUCAAGAGGGAAACAACCCAGACUACCAGCUAAGGUCCCUAAAUCUUACUUAAGUGGAAAACGAUGUGAAGUUACUUAAACAACCAGGAGGUUGGCUUAGAAGCAGCCAUCCUUUAAAGAAAGCGUAAUAGCUCACUGGUCUAGUGAUUUUGCGCGGAAAAUAUAACGGGGCUAAAGUAAGUACCGAAGCUGUAGACUUGACUUUGUCAAGUGGUAGGAGAGCGUUCUAUUUGCGUCGAAGGUAUACCGGUAAGGAGUGCUGGAGCGAAUAGAAGUGAGCAUGCAGGCAUGAGUAGCGAUAAUUAAUGUGAGAAUCAUUAACGCCGUAAACCCAAGGUUUCCUACGCGAUGCUCGUCAUCGUAGGGUUAGUCGGGUCCUAAGUCGAGUCCGAAAGGGGUAGACGAUGGCAAAUUGGUUAAUAUUCCAAUACCAACAUUAGUGUGCGAUGGAAGGACGCUUAGGGCUAAGGGGGCUAGCGGAUGGAAGUGCUAGUCUAAGGUCGUAGGUGCUUAUACAGGCAAAUCCGUAUAAGAAUACACCGAGAACUGAAAGGCUUUUUGAAGUCUUCGGAUGGAUAGAAGAACCCCUGAUGCCGUCGAGCCAAGAAAAGUUUCUAAGUUUAGCUAAUGUUGCCCGUACCGUAAACCGACACAGGUGGGUGGGAUGAGUAUUCUAAGGCGCGUGGAAGAACUCUCUUUAAGGAACUCUGCAAAAUAGCACCGUAUCUUCGGUAUAAGGUGUGGUUCGCUUCGUAUUAGGAUUUACUCCGAAAGCGAAGAAACUUACAACAAAGAGUCCCUCCCGACUGUUUACCAAAAACACAGCACUCUGCUAACUCGUAAGAGGAUGUAUAGGGUGUGACGCCUGCCCGGUGCUCGAAGGUUAAUUGAUGGGGUUAGCAUUAGCGAAGCUCUUGAUCGAAGCCCGAGUAAACGGCGGCCGUAACUAUAACGGUCCUAAGGUAGCGAAAUUCCUUGUCGGUUAAAUACCGACCUGCAUGAAUGGCGUAACGAGAUGGGAGCUGUCUCAAAGAGGGAUCCAGUGAAAUUGUAGUGGAGGUGAAAAUUCCUCCUACCCGCGGCAAGACGGAAAGACCCCGUGGACCUUUACUACAGCUUGACACUGCUACUUGGAUAAGAAUGUGCAGGAUAGGUGGGAGGCUUUGAGUAUAUGACGCCAGUUGUAUAUGAGCCAUUGUUGAGAUACCACUCUUUCUUAUUUGGGUAGCUAACCAGCUUGAGUUAUCCUCAAGUGGGACAAUGUCUGGUGGGUAGUUUGACUGGGGCGGUCGCCUCCCAAAUAAUAACGGAGGCUUACAAAGGUUGGCUCAGAACGGUUGGAAAUCGUUCGUAGAGUAUAAAGGUAUAAGCCAGCUUAACUGCAAGACAUACAAGUCAAGCAGAGACGAAAGUCGGUCUUAGUGAUCCGGUGGUUCUGUGUGGAAGGGCCAUCGCUCAAAGGAUAAAAGGUACCCCGGGGAUAACAGGCUGAUCUCCCCCAAGAGCUCACAUCGACGGGGAGGUUUGGCACCUCGAUGUCGGCUCAUCGCAUCCUGGGGCUGGAGCAGGUCCCAAGGGUAUGGCUGUUCGCCAUUUAAAGCGGUACGCGAGCUGGGUUCAGAACGUCGUGAGACAGUUCGGUCCCUAUCUGCCGUGGGCGUAAGAAGAUUGAAGAGAUUUGACCCUAGUACGAGAGGACCGGGUUGAACAAACCACUGGUGUAGCUGUUGUUCUGCCAAGAGCAUCGCAGCGUAGCUAAGUUUGGAAAGGAUAAACGCUGAAAGCAUCUAAGCGUGAAGCCAACUCUAAGAUGAAUCUUCUCUAAGCUCUCUAGAAGACUACUAGUUUGAUAGGCUGGGUGUGUAAUGGAUGAAAGUCCUUUAGCUGACCAGUACUAAUAGAGCGUUUGGCUUAUCU